This 1155-nucleotide long non-coding RNA is filed under the name Pan troglodytes (chimpanzee). RNAcentral describes it as "lncRNA (ENSPTRG00000054016.1)". Lineage: Eukaryota; Metazoa; Chordata; Mammalia; Primates; Hominidae. The record is from RNAcentral.
AUGAAGAGGAUAACUUAUUCGCACCCCCCAAGCUGACCGACGAGGACUUCUCACCAUUUGGCUCUGGAGGCAGCCUGUUCAGUGGGGGCAAGGGGCUCUUUGAUUAUGAGGACGAGGAGGUGAGUCCAUGGCACUCAGCAACACUCCCUGCAGCUAGCUGUGUCAGGGGUCCACAGGGAAGAAAUAGGCUUUGCUUGUUGAGUGGGGAAAAACAGUUUCUCAGUUGGAAGUUGCUUCUAUUUUCAUAUUUUGGGACAUUUUGAACUAAGAAUCACAGAGUGAGAAAUGCCGUAUCCUUCUAUGCUUUGUUAGGUGAGGCGAAGAUGUGCACGUGUUAAUGUGAAUAAUUUACUAGGUGAUUGUUUCUUGCCUUAUCUGUUGUCUUCCAUGUUUGUUUUUAAUUCCUGGACAGGCCUAAAUUAUUUUAGAGUCUGAUUUUGCCAUAGUUAUCACUUUGCAACUGAUUUUCUGGCAGAGUAGUAAAUAUGUAGCUUUAAAUCUUGUAGGUUAUUUUUCCUUAGGAAUCCUCAAAUGCAGCUAUGCUUUCUCCUGGUUUUUUGAAUUCUUUGUCAUAUACCUUAUUUCAACCAGAGUGACCUCUUCACGGAAGCCCCCCAGGAUCGGCAAGCUGGAGCCUCUGUUAAGGAGGGAGACACGGAUGUGCUGCCUCCGUUCCAUCACUGAAGGAGCCACAGAAGCCUGAGCAGCCCACUCCAAGGAAAAGCCCCUACGUUCCCCUCCCACUGGCCUCUUUGAUGAUGAUGAUGGUGAUGAUGAUGACGACUUUUUCUCGACACCCCACAGCAAGCCUUCCAAAACAGGCAAAGUCCAAUCCACUGCCGAUAUCUUUGGUGACGAAGAAGGAGAUCUGUUCAAAGAAAAAGCCGUAGCAUUGCCAGAAGCCACUGUGAGUCAGACAGAUGAAAAUAAAGCAAGAGCAGAAAAAAAGGUUACCUUAUCUUCCAGCAAAAAUCUCAAGCCCUCAUCAGAAACAAAGACUCAAAAAGGCUUAUUUUCAGAUGAGGAGGACUCUGAGGUAUGGAAUUCUUUUGCUUAGUUGUGGGUAUUAGUCUAUGAUAUGACAUAACUAUUUUGAAUCAGGUUUUUCUCAAUAGAGUUAUAAGACUUUUGUUAAGUACUCCAGUUCUUUAAAAA